GUGCUCACUUCGGCAGCACAUAUACUAAAAUUGGAACGAUAUAGAGAACAUUAGCAUGGCCCCUGUGCAAGGAUGAACUGGCGUCAGAUGGGGGAGGAUUGCCACUUAC
Small nuclear RNA from Suncus etruscus (white-toothed pygmy shrew), 109 nucleotides. NCBI's taxonomy places the organism in Eukaryota, Metazoa, Chordata, Mammalia, Eulipotyphla, Soricidae. The record is from RefSeq and is a predicted model, not a curated record.